Molecule: transfer RNA, 74 nt
Filed under: Caudoviricetes sp.
Lineage: Duplodnaviria; Heunggongvirae; Uroviricota; Caudoviricetes
Description: tRNA-Asn
Rfam family: tRNA
About the family: Transfer RNA (tRNA) molecules are approximately 80 nucleotides in length. Their secondary structure includes four short double-helical elements and three loops (D, anti-codon, and T loops).
Source: RNAcentral
GGGAAGGAAGCUUAAGUGGUAUAAGCUACUGCCUGUUAAGCAGAAGACAGCGAGUUCGAAUCUCGCCCUUCCCG